AUGUUUGAAAAGUUUGGUGAGACGCUAUAUGAGGGUGGGUCAUAUAUUCUAAUUGAAUUUGUGCCUCGUCGCGAAUACAUAGCCAGGCAUGUAAAGAAGGAUUCCUAGGACAAGUGGUGUAAAAAUGAAUUCCUUGUUCAGGUGAAUAAGCUUGCUGAUGAAUUCAAGUGUGAGCGUGGAAUGUUUGAGCAUUUCGGCAUGGUGUGCAACCAUGCACUAAAGGUAUCACAUUCUUGUUGUUCUGUUAUGCAUGUCAAAUGA
Molecule: ribosomal RNA, 261 nt
Filed under: Triticum aestivum (bread wheat)
Lineage: Eukaryota; Viridiplantae; Streptophyta; Magnoliopsida; Poales; Poaceae
Description: partial small subunit ribosomal RNA
Source: RNAcentral